Molecule: ribosomal RNA, 1205 nt
Filed under: Micrococcus sp. LWYT1307
Lineage: Bacteria; Bacillati; Actinomycetota; Actinomycetes; Micrococcales; Micrococcaceae
Description: bacterial SSU rRNA
Rfam family: Bacterial small subunit ribosomal RNA
Source: RNAcentral
UGUUGGAAAGAAUUUCGGUCAUGGAUGGACUCGCGGCCUAUCAGCUUGUUGGUGAGGUAAUGGCUCACCAAGGCGACGACGGGUAGCCGGCCUGAGAGGGUGACCGGCCACACUGGGACUGAGACACGGCCCAGACUCCUACGGGAGGCAGCAGUGGGGAAUAUUGCACAAUGGGCGAAAGCCUGAUGCAGCGACGCCGCGUGAGGGAUGACGGCCUUCGGGUUGUAAACCUCUUUCAGUAGGGAAGAAGCGAAAGUGACGGUACCUGCAGAAGAAGCACCGGCUAACUACGUGCCAGCAGCCGCGGUAAUACGUAGGGUGCGAGCGUUAUCCGGAAUUAUUGGGCGUAAAGAGCUCGUAGGCGGUUUGUCGCGUCUGUCGUGAAAGUCCGGGGCUUAACCCCGGAUCUGCGGUGGGUACGGGCAGACUAGAGUGCAGUAGGGGAGACUGGAAUUCCUGGUGUAGCGGUGGAAUGCGCAGAUAUCAGGAGGAACACCGAUGGCGAAGGCAGGUCUCUGGGCUGUAACUGACGCUGAGGAGCGAAAGCAUGGGGAGCGAACAGGAUUAGAUACCCUGGUAGUCCAUGCCGUAAACGUUGGGCACUAGGUGUGGGGAACAUUCCACGUUUUCCGCGCCGCAGCUAACGCAUUAAGUGCCCCGCCUGGGGAGUACGGCCGCAAGGCUAAAACUCAAAGGAAUUGACGGGGGCCCGCACAAGCGGCGGAGCAUGCGGAUUAAUUCGAUGCAACGCGAAGAACCUUACCAAGGCUUGACAUGUUCUCGAUCGCCGUAGAGAUACGGUUUCCCCUUUGGGGCGGGUUCACAGGUGGUGCAUGGUUGUCGUCAGCUCGUGUCGUGAGAUGUUGGGUUAAGUCCCGCAACGAGCGCAACCCUCGUUCCAUGUUGCCAGCACUUCGGGUGGGGACUCAUGGGAGACUGCCGGGGUCAACUCGGAGGAAGGUGGGGACGACGUCAAAUCAUCAUGCCCCUUAUGUCUUGGGCUUCACGCAUGCUACAAUGGCCGGUACAAUGGGUUGCGAUACUGUGAGGUGGAGCUAAUCCCAAAAAGCCGGUCUCAGUUCGGAUUGGGGUCUGCAACUCGACCCCAUGAAGUCGGAGUCGCUAGUAAUCGCAGAUCAGCAACGCUGCGGUGAAUACGUUCCCGGGCCUUGUACACACCGCCCGUCAAGUCACGAGAAGUCGGU